UAGAUUGGGAGCGGGGGCACUCGCCGACGCACACGGAGAGCACUUUUUUUUAGGUGAUUGAGGAGACCUCGUGUGGCUGCGAGCGUACCCCUCCGUCCCCCCGGCUCAGUUUAAUGUGUCACACCGUCGCUGGUCGCCGUCAGCUCGCUGCGAAUUAUUUAUAACCGACAAGAAAAUUGGAUGGGACGCGCUCACACGAGCAAGACAAUCCCGGAAAUAACAUGCGUACUCUCAGCCUGUCACGUACGCUCACUGUGGAUUUGCAUUGCUGUAGGCUGCCGUAGAUACCCGGCACAGCCUCAGCAUGUUUUUAAGACAUAUACAAAUUAUUACGCAGUUUAGGAGGAUUAAAUGAGACUACAGGGUGAAAUCUGAGACAGUAGAAGAGGACUUGGAUAUGAAACUUCUAGCUGUGGCAAAGACCCUCUCCAUCAGAGAAAAGCAGUGGCUCAGCUAGAAAAUGAAGCGAGGACGUGAGCUACGUGCGCAUCCAGCACAUGACGAGAUGAAAUGGAGAGCUUGGGACAUACGGACCUUUUAAACCCAAGCUCUGUCCGCUCUGGGUUCCUUGCUGCAUCACCCUCACAGGAGAUAAAGACGAGCGGGAAGCAGCUCGUCUGUGGACCGGCCGAGAUUCACCACACGUACCGAGCGGACAUGGGGCUGAACGGCUUCUGCGCGGCGCCGGUUGGAAGUCCAACAGCCGCGGAGUUACUCGCAGGUCUGGCCUCUCAGACCGACUCCCCUGCUAUCACAACCCCGACGAAGCAGUGCAAAACCGGAGUACCUCUUUACAACGGCGGGGUGGUGUCUCCAUCUGCCACCGUGGAGGGGAGCCACACAGGCGUAAUGGCUCACACACCAAACGGUCACCCGGCGCAUAUGAAGGGGAUGGCGGGGGUAACGGGCGGCUCUGUGUACCCCCUCUCCAGCAGAGCCUGUCUGACUGAGAAUGGGGACUGGACAGCUCAUGAGAAGUGUCCCUCAGUGAUGAGGAGGAUCAAUGGAAACCUGAAAGCUAGAGAGGUGCAACUACAAAAACGAAGAGGUGGGGAGAACAGGGAUAUGGGUUUGGGGGCUGUUAAUGGACUCAUUGCAGGGUCAGCGGGGUUAGGAAGUUCUGUAGAUAUGGCUUUUGCUUCAGGGGACUCGGAUGUUAAACGGAGACGAUUAACAGAUGGAAGUGUUGCUCAGAAAUCUAUAGAGACCUCCAGAGAGGCGCGAACUGUUGCCCCUCUAACUACCACGGUCAACUGCAGCAACAGUCCCCAAAGCAACCAAAUUACUUUCAAUCAUGUGCACUGUGGCACUCCUCAGUCCCCCUUCACCCCUGCUGCCCCUCAUACUAACCAGCACAAUGGACACAUCGUGGCCUCCUCAGGUCCACCAGCAGCCCCCAGCCAGACCUCUCCCAUUGAGGCCAAUUGCAUCCCAACUCCACCUCCCUCUGCUGAGUCUGGCUGGUCUGCAGAGCGCAUAGCACAGCAGUACAUUGUCCCCUGCAUGAAAUACUACGGCAUCUGUGUGAAGGACAACUUUCUGGGCCCUCAGCUUGGCAACAGCGUCCUGGAGGAGGUGGAGGUCUUAAACCGCAGCGGGAAAUUUCGGGGCGGGCAGCUGGUGAGCCAGAGGAACAUCUCGCCUCGGAGCAUCCGGGGGGACCAGAUCGCUUGGGUGGAGGGACGGGAUCCUGGGUGCAAGGAAAUCGGGGUGCUGAUGGCCCACAUCGAUGAGGCGGUCAUGUACAGUGCUGCCAAUGGACAGCUUGGGGACUGUGUCAUCAACGGACGCACAAAGGCCAUGGUUGCCUGUUACCCAGGGAAUGGGGCAGGGUAUGUCCGCCAUGUUGACAACCCUAACGGUGAUGGACGCUGCAUUACCUGUAUCUAUUAUCUCAACAAGAAUUGGGACGUCAAGAAAGAAGGAGGGCUGCUACAGAUCUACCCUGAAGGCAAGAAUGUGGUAGCCAACAUCGAGCCUCUGUUUGACCGGCUGCUCAUCUUCUGGUCUGACCGCAGGAACCCACACGAAGUCAAGCCAGCCUACGCCACUCGGUUAGUGAUUCUUAAACAUGCCGAGGUCUUGUACGUGCAGUGCUGCCUGGGUUUUGAUAGAGACACCAGGCACACUGCCAGUAUUACCAAUAUUGUAUAUGCUGCACAUGUACAUGUUCUAGAAUUGAACACCACAUUGAUCAUACUGCAUUAAUAAAAAAGAGUUUUUGAAUAAUUUAGCACGCUUUGCAAAAGAAACAAAGUGAAGAGUUAUACAUUUUUAAUUCAAAGCCCAGCAGGUUACAUAUCUAAAGGAUGCACAUAUUAAGAGUUAUCUCUUUGUGUUUCAUCUCCUUCAUUUCACCUCCACUGCACUCCUCAAGUUAAGAACUUGAGGAGUGCAGAGUGUUUGUUUUCUAAAGAAUUUAAGUCAGAUAAAAUGAAAUGACACAGAGUAGAAAACAGUAGAAAGAAGCUCUCAUCUGCUAAACUUUCUUUGAUUCUCAUUUGAGAUAGACCCUCUUAUUACAUAACUUGUAAAUCCUUGCACAUAUACACUUAUUUACAUCAUAGCACCAAAUAGCUGUCCAUUGAGGACACACGACACACUCUCCUCCCGUCUUGUCUCCAUUGGACUGCUGGGGGGCGAGGUGGAGCUGGAGGCAGGAAGUAUGUGUUUCCUGAGGGGGUCGGUGGGAGGGAGAAGGGAGGAAGGUUCGAUUGCAGGGCUCGUGCUGGAGAGGCAGAGACAUGAGAGACAGGAAUAAACAACACAGCCCCACAGGAGAGGCUCAAAACUGAGGAAAUUAACCCUCUACUAUCCCGGACGGUCUGCUGUUCACAUAAUGAGACGUGUCAUACUAGAAUCUCUGCAUUCAUAUGUUUCUCAGGCAAAAGGGAGAGAUUUUUCCCCCAAUUUUUGUCUGAUUUUGAGAGUGAAACCAGAGUCCAACUUUAGAUUAUUGCAUCUUGGUGACUUUAUUCCCCAUGUCACAGCCUUUUCUUAAGGGCUUGUUUUGCUUAAACUUCCCCCACAAAAUUUUCUCUGAAGGUAUACAGAUAAAAUAAAAUAGUCUUGGUGUUAUUAACAUCUCUUUGUCCUUGUCUUGUAGCUAUGCCAUCACAGUCUGGUACUUUGAUGCCAAAGAGAGAGCUGAAGCUAAAGAGAAGUACAGACUGGCAACAGGACAGAAAGGUGUUCAAGUGCCUGUCACUCAAAACAGCAGGACAUAAAACACAUCUAAUCAGUGGAGAGUCUCUGAAAGUAUUACGUGCCUUCCUGAAACACUAAUGGACAUCAUGAUCAUUAAGGGGGACACAUUAAACUGCCUGUUCUUGCCACAGCGACAUGCCACUUCUGCAUAUUCAGCUGUCAAGAGUCGUGUCACGGGCUCUGAUGUCAUGAUUUCCUGCCAUGUGAUUGGGCUGCUGAUGACAGACAUUGGCAGACAGAGAGAGCACAACGGACUGGAUUGUUAAGCAGAGGAAGAUCAGAAUUGCACAACACAGUGACAGAAGAAGAAAAUAAAUCUGACGUCUCACUGAAUCAUGUAUGAAGACAACAAACUGAAAAAACAGACUUUUUAUUUUGGUUGCAGUUUUGACUGUUUGGUUUUUCAGUGGUGUUGUGAUGUAUUGAAAAAGUAGUGUUUCACACUGCUCAAGUGUCAUUUUCAAUUCAAACACAAGGAGCAUAUUUGAUGAAUCAAUGGACUAAUGGUGGGAAAAGGGGCACAAUGAGUUGAAAUCAAGGGUGUUGCCCUAAAAUCCAUAAGUCCCCUUGUCUGUGUUGAUGUCCCCUUGUCUCAUGAUCUGGGCUAUGUGUGUCAGUGUAAAGACAGAGCCACAGAAAAGAAACCGCAUCAAUUGAUUGUUGGCCAAAGUUGUUCCAUGGCACUUAUUCAGACAGUCAUGCAAACAGGCAUGAUGAAAAAUCGACUGUAGACUUACAACAUAAAGCACACUAACUACAGGCCUGAGAGUAUUUAAGACUGUGUUUAAAUAUCUCGCUAAGACUAACAGAUCUAAAAAAAAAAAAGAAACUCAGUGCAACAAAAACACAUUAAAAAAAUUCCAGCAUGGACGUUUCUUGCUUUUUCCCCCUCCUGUAGUUGCAAAGCGUGAAAUGAUUGUGGAAGUGCACCCAGAGUAAACAAAUCUUUCUACAUAUCGGAUGUGAAGUGCUCUCUGUGUGAUCGAAAUGCACACAACACAGACAUGAGACAAGAGACAAGUUGUUCAGUGACAGAGUUCAAAAACAGGGUUUGAUGAAAUAGAGUGUGUGCUUUUUGUGUUCGAGUAUGUGUUUUGUGUGUGUGCGUGUGUGUGUGUGUAUGUGUAUGAACUCCUCGGCUCCUCACUGAUGUAGAUGCAAACAGUGAGUAACAUGGAUGUGGAAAUCGUCGGAUAACCUUCUCAGACACACACAACACAAACACAAACAUCCUAAUACACACAUGCCGGUAAACUGAUAACAAUUUACAAUAUAAAGCACAGAGUUGAGCAUACACUGUAUGUGAACUGCAGGAUCAAACUACCGCCUGCUCAUGUGUGGGAUUGAGUGUGUUAACGUGUACUUGCACAUGUAUGUGACAGCUUACACUGUCUGGAAGAGGGUAGUAGGUAUUGUCUCUGUGUAUUUCAGAUUGAUAAAAGAGAAGGUUAUUUUACAAAGCACUUUAUUGUUUGAAAUGCCAUGUGUGAAUGAUAGAAAUACUAUUACUCAAAAUGUAGAUUAAUGCCUUUAUUCUGUGGAUAAUAUGGUCAUUCAAAUGCAAUAGAAACUAAAACAAUGAGAACAAAUGGAAAUGAUUUGCCUAUUUUCUUUUUUUUUAUUCUGGAGUAUUUAAUUAAAAUGUUUCUGUUUCCUACACAGAUAUCGUAGUUGAUUUCAUGGGGAUAAAUUGGAGCUAAAUUCCAGUGAAAAAAAUCUGUCCAGUCAGUUGCUGCAAGACGAAUCAAAAUAAAACUCCUUUACAAAGUA
RNA transcript from Notolabrus celidotus (New Zealand spotty), 4977 nucleotides. It is a transcript of the gene named egl-9 family hypoxia-inducible factor 2, with no coding region annotated. NCBI's taxonomy places the organism in Eukaryota, Metazoa, Chordata, Actinopteri, Labriformes, Labridae. The transcript has 5 exons. The record is from RefSeq and is a predicted model, not a curated record.